This 253-nucleotide ribosomal RNA is filed under the name uncultured bacterium. Its description in RNAcentral is "partial 16S ribosomal RNA". It matches the Rfam family "Bacterial small subunit ribosomal RNA", at positions 524 to 776 of the family's 1533-position model. The record is from RNAcentral.
CACGUAAGGAGCGAGCGUUUUUCGGAAUUAUUGGGCGUAAAGGGUGCGCAGGCGGUCUGGUAAGCCUGGUGUGAAAUACCGCAGCUUAACUGCGGGAACGCGCUGGGAACUGCUAGACUAGAGUUUUGGAGGGGAGACUGGAAUUCCUGGUGUAGGGGUGAAAUCUGUUGAUAUCAGGAAGAACACCUGAGGCGAAGGCGAGUCUCUGGCCAUGAACUGACGCUGAGGCACGAAAGCGUAGGGAGCGAACAGG